Molecule: long non-coding RNA, 4140 nt
Organism: Sapajus apella (tufted capuchin)
Lineage: Eukaryota; Metazoa; Chordata; Mammalia; Primates; Cebidae
Exons: 2
Source: RefSeq, a predicted model, not a curated record
UCCCACUAUUACUGUUUGGGAGUCUAAGUCUCUUUGUAGGUCUCUAAGAACUUGCUUAUGAAUCUGGGUGCACCUGUAUUGGGUGCAUAUAGACUUAGAAUAGUUAGCUCUUAAUACCUGGCCUCUUUCCCAAAAGCCCUUGAAGCAGCAUACCAAGAUAAGAUAUACACAGCGAUGCUAAUAACAUAUCAACAGCAAGGGAAGAAAAACAAAGGCUUAACAUACAUUAUUGCAUGUAAAAUUUGACUCUGGAACUUGCUGGAAAUUAAGGCUAAGAGAAGGGGAAGAAGUUAUGCACUGCCCUAUCAGUAGGUCAGAAGCAUAACGGUUGCUUAGGGGAGAGCCUUUCCUGAUGCCUUCUGCUAUAGAUGUUCUCAUUGAGGGUCCUGUGAAGUGCUAAAAUGAACAGAAUUCUUGAUUUUCACACAUUUACAUGUUAUGAUUGUGCCUUGCAUCCUUACCUUGUACCAGCUUUCAAAGGCUUCCAUUUCAGGGUUUGGGGGAUUUGUGUAGGUGUGGUUAAUAAUGGAUUUUGUUUCCAUAAGUAAGAAUUCUUAUUCUAAGCUGCAAAUAAUUAUUAAGCUUGAAAAUAAUUUGAGACAAAUGCCUUGAGACACGCAGAACCUUUGCCGAAUUCUGUAAUUUGUAAGAUAGAAAGUGAAUGUGCUAUCCCUGGAUUAGCAUAUGUAUAUUGCAGUAAAUGUGGUCUUCUUCACAGUGGAAUUUAGUGUGGAGAGAUGUGCAGCUCCAUUUCUGUGAGGAUGUGUGUGGAACCCCAUUAGACUCCUACUUUGUCGGGGCUCCACAGAGACCAGAGGUUUGUCAUAAGGGACCUAACCUCCAUGGCUCCUGAGGUCAGCUGCUCCCCUAAAAGGCAAUUGCUUGGCCUUUAUUUCAGAAGGUUUACUAAGUGACCUAAGGAUGUACUCGGAGCUGUUUGGUUUCCAUGGAAUUCAACUCUGUGUGUGUGUGUGUGUGUGUGUGUGUACACACCUUCCUUGUUACUAUUUUAACAGACUUUUGGCUCACUGUAAGAGUUAGAACUUAUGUGAAGUGUGUGGUAAAAGAACACAUACAUUAUUCCAAGAGCAGCCACUACUCACACCACAUUGAACACUUAACCUUAUCACAGGUUAUAGCUCAAUCUUUGGGACCACAUUCUUUGUCUACGGUCAAGGCUUUAUAGUAUUUUUCUGCCUUAUUAUCUCUAAGGAACUGAAGUAUUUCUCCCUAAAAAUGCUAUGGUAAAAUCUGAUUUUUGGGUUAAACUGGCUUUAGUAAUAUCCUCACUAAAAGUUAACAAAAGAAAUCCAGCUCCACUGAGUUUGUGUAAAAGGGCUGAGUCAGCUAAGAAUGUUGCUCUGAGCAUUACCAGUAAGGUUGGAGGUAUCUAAUCGUCAGUGUGCUGGUGCUUCUGUUGAAUGCUGGCAGAUUGCAGCCUCUUGUUUAAGCGUGAGUUUUUCAAAGAAAAAAACUGGCUGCCACUCUUGCAGUGGCUUUCUUGAGUGGCUAAGCUUUCUAGGUUAUUUAGCAGAUGAAAUAGAAACAUGGAAACACUGUGGUUGGAAGCCACGUGGUGCGCAUGCUCCUGCUUGUUAACUAACAGUGAGUGGUGUUGAUGUGUGGGCAUUCAGUCGUCUUCUGCAUUGGCAGUGCCAAUGUGUAAUCAGUUGUCUCACCACAAUUGGGGGUUUUAGGAAACUCAGAAAUAUCCGCCUUAGCUCUCAGAGUUCUUGAAAUCAGUAUCUUAGUCUUAAGAAUUGUUCCUUGUGUUUCUUGGCAACAAACAGUAUUUUCAGCCCAACCCCACCCACAGUUUACAUUUGCCCUUUUCUCCUGCAUCUCACAGCAUAGCCAUACAAGCAGCACCCGACAGAAAGCACAUUCAGGCGCCAUCUGACAAUGGGAAGCAGGACUCGGGCAUUUCAUUCCCCAUUUGCUCCUGGUGUCCCAUCCUCAGUUCUGCCUUGCUUACCUUCUUUGUGCCAGCACUUUUCUUUGAGGCUGUAUUGCAAAGGACCUUGCCUAAAGACAAACUAUUUUACCCUUGCACUUUGAAUUCCUCCAGUACCUAGGACUAACUAAUGAGGAGAAUGCUUAUUAGCUCAUUUUGUGGGCCAGCGCUGGGUUCUCCUCCAUAGGUAGUUGGGGACAGGGAGCACUAUCUUAUUUUCAUUUGAAGAAACCAAGACUUAGGUCAAGAACUUGUCUUUGUAUGGCAUGACACUUAGUGAUGGAUGGGGAGUUCUAAUUUGCAGUUUGCAUUUAACUUGCUUAAAAGUUGGUGCUCAUUUUUCUGUGUCACAGUGCAUCUCAGAAAGAAACUUCUUAGGGAAUGUGUGUGUUACUGAUGACAGCUGGGCUCUUACUGUUUUAGCAGCAGUGUGAACAGAUGAAGCAGACAUGAAGGGGGAAAUGGCAAUGUGUACUAUGUGACAGGCACUAUGCUAAGCAUGUCAUCCUCACUGAGCAUUUAUGAAGGUUUUCUAUUUUUAAAAUGAGCCACCCGAGCCAUGAAGAAGUUAAGUGACUUGACCACAAUCACAACCCAUGUGGUAGCACCAGGAUUUCAGUCCAGAUCUGACUCAGAACUCAUGCUUUAACCACCAUGUGAUUUGAAGCUAGAUAACAAGGAAAUACAUUUAAAUACGUAAGGAAUGUGUGUGUGUGUGUGUGUGUGUGUGUGUGUGUGUACACACACACACACCACACAUACAGGUAAUAUAUACUACUACUAAAGACAUCAGAUCAGUGCUAACUCCUGCAGUAUAGAUGUCCCAGGUUGAAUAAAAUAGUUUCCUAAAAUCUCUACAUUUGUAACAAUGACAAAGGAUGGGCAGAUGGCUGCAGGAUGUAUGAGGUUCACCUCAUGUAUGCAAGAGGUGCAUAUCUCAGGUAUGAGGUUCACCUCAUACAUGAGGUGAAGCUUAUGUAUACCUCAGCUAUUAGGGCAAGAAGUAUACAUUUUAGUACUUGUACUAAAACUAACAAAUUCUUGAUAUGAAAAAUAAAAGCAUUAUUGGUGAUUUAGGUGUUACAAUUGCUUUUCCUAACAAAAUGCCAGAACAGGUUGAUUCUUUAACUUGAAAUCGUUUCAUGGGAAUUCUGUUAGGUGAUUGGGGAAUUUGUGAUCCCUCUGUCUGAAAAUAUUAACCAAAAAAUAGAAGGGAACUUUUCAAGGUGCAAAAUAGUGUUUAAGAGUUUAGAGCCAGAAUUAUCCCUGGCUUUCUUUUCUACUAGUAUGGUGACCUCAGCAAAUUACUUAAUCUUUCUGCCUCAGUUUCCUUACAUGUAAAGUGAGGAUAAUAAUCGUACCUUUGGCAAAGCAGUGUUGUGAUGACUGAGUAAAUGUAAAGCACUUAGAGUCUGGCACAGCAAGUGCUAGGAAAGUGUUGGCCACCACGGUGUGGUCUUCCUUGUUGCAGUUAUUUCAAAGGCGGUAAGUCUUUUAAAUUGCAAAUGCCCUCAAAUGUCAUAAAUCAUUGUACAAAACUCUUCAGAAGCCACCACUUAAGAAUCCCAUUGAAAUAUCUGGCAGGCAGGCACUUGUGCAUCCAAAGAGAAGAGGGUGUUGAAGGACUCACGCUUGACAAAUGCCUGCUGUAUACAAGGUGCUUUGCCCACAGGAUGUUAUACACCUUAACAAGUCCUCCUGAGGGAAGGAAGCAGGAUGAAGCCCCGUGUCACACCCCUGAGAGUGGUAGUCUGUGCUCGCCCAGUACCUGCACAGUCUCCCAGGUACUGGGGUGCUGGCAAGUGAGGGAAGUGCUUCUAGGAACCUUGCCCUAUUCAGUGUAAAACCAGCAUUUUGGUCCCCUACACUUGACUUGGCACAUUCAAAUCUGAUCUAGUUUGCUCAUGGAUGGCAGCAGCCCUCGUACCCCCACUCUAAGGGCCCCCGUGAGUGUGCACAUGCGUUGAUAGGAAGGAGAGGGUUGUGGAAAGGCAGCCCCAGCCUUCAGCUGCAGUAUCAUGCAGAUGCUGGGGACGUUGAGAGCUGAAAGGCACUCUUAAAUUAUGCAAAUGCAAUACUGCUUUUAAAAGCAUCUGAGGCAAAAGUCUCCCUCCAAAAAAAAAAAAAAACUGUGUGAGCUGGGACUGCCAGUAUGGCUAACAAAGUGGGGACGAAAUUCUGCAAAA